GGGGGUGGCAUCGCAGGCUGUGGGCUCUCCCGCCCCGUACCCCACUGCUUCGCUGGCCCCCAGUGCCUGGGACCGGGAUUUGGGGAAUGAGUGUGACCCGGGUUCAAACUGCCGAGUGUAAACAGGGCCGGCGGCAGGAACUGCAGCGUGACGGGGGCUCGACAGCUGGAAGCAGUUGGCGCAUAAAGGGCUUUGGAGAUAAGAGCCGCACAGCAGAUGUGGGCUCCUCCGGCCAGCGCCCUCUCACUGGUUCCCAUUAGCGAGCGCCUGGCAAGAGGCUGCAGGAUGCAAUCACGGGCCGGCUGGAAAGAGAAGCGAGGUCACCAUCCAAAUUCCUCUGGAUUCCAGGGCUGGGGGGUUUGUGGGGGUCUCUGUGUCACUUGGACUAAAGAGGAACUUGCCAACUGCCAACAAAGACAUGUUUGAUCCAGAGAGCUCCUCCCCAGCCUCAGUCGCUCCAGCGCUGCGACCCUGCCAGGAAGCCGUGAUCCUCAGUGACAUGACUGUCGUGCUACAGAGGCAGCUUGGUGGCUUCUUGGCAGAGUCAGACAGGAGGAGACGCAGUGGGAGGGAUGUAGCGUUUGCAUUAACAGGAGCAGGGCUGGCUCCCAGAAGGAGGGGCUCAGACUAGGCUCUGGAUCUAAACUCCCCCUCCCCCCGGACCCUGGCUCUGACCUUUCCAGCUUGGGCUCACCUCUAGGAAUUAACAGCCCGGUUACAGACAGCAGCAGCAGAUGAGCCAGGACAGGGCUGAUGGGGGCAGGCGAUGCGUGUGGGGAAAGCCCCUCUCUGCUGGCAGCAGGCUGGGGAAUUUCUGAGGCCUGCAAAGGACAAGACCAGGUUCCCAGGGGGCCCGGGAAGCAAGUGCCGAGGCGUAUGGACGGUGUGUGUGUCUGCAUCGAUUCUCUGUGUCUCCCGCUCCAGCCCGAAGCACCACACCGCCGACGGAACAAGCGGAGCGGAGAUUUACAGUGGCUGGCGCGACACGCCGACCCUUCCACUCCACUUGUACGGCAGCAUUUUCAUCGAUCUCUCGGAAA
RNAcentral lists this long non-coding RNA (1040 nucleotides) under Chrysemys picta bellii (western painted turtle). RNAcentral describes it as "lncRNA (ENSCPBG00000010430.1)". Lineage: Eukaryota; Metazoa; Chordata; Testudines; Emydidae. The record is from RNAcentral.